CUGGGAGCCAUUAGCCAAGUAGGUAUGACAAUUUCCUUGCCAGCGUACCCCAUGUUGCAGUGACAUUGAAUGUACGUGACCUUGCUCAAGGACCAAGGCAGAUUAGGGUGUUCCCGGUUUUAAGAUAAUCGUGUUUAGGGCGUUCCCAGUUUAGGUUCCAGGUUUAAGGUUUAAGAUUAUUCCUGCUGGGAAUAGGGCGUAUCCUGCUGCCUGAGUUCCCCUUAAGUUCUCACGGGAUUCAGACAGUAUAUUUUGGAGAUAGAAGCCCAGUGGAGGUGGAUUUGGGCAGAGAACGUGGAUUUGGGCAGAGAACGUGGAUUUCUCCAGAACGUGAUUGUAGACGGCUGGUGUGAGUUCGGGAAUAAAGAGUUGCUGUUUGAAUCUACAAGCUGUGCGGUGGCUCGUGAUUGUGUGCCCAGCCAGACUGCGGCAUUUGUGCCCAGCCAGACUGCGGCACUUAACCACUGAGCCACCUCCCCAGCUCAGUGAUUAAUUUUGAAACAGAGUCUCAGUAAAUUGCUGAAGGUCUUUCUAAAUUGCCUUGACUGGCCUCAACUUGCAAUCCUCCUGCCUCAGACUCCCAAAUUGCUGGGAUUAUAGGUGUGAGCCAUCACCCUGGCUACCCUCUAACUUGUAUCAUUUUUUUUUUAAAAGAGAGAGAGAGAGAAUUUUAAUAUUUAUUUUUUAGUUUUCGGCAGACACAACAUCUCUGUUUGUAUGUGGUGCUGAGGAUCGAACCCGGGCUGCACGCAUGCCAGGCGAGCGUGCUACCGCUUGAGCCACAUCCCCAGCCCUUGUAUCAUUCUUAUAUGCCGACUGGCUUUGUGUUUGUAGCCAGGUCUAGAACAAGAAUAAACUUGUCAGGAUGUAAUUGGAACUGUACCUUCGCUUGCCUUCCAUUGACCCAUAACUUGUGGAAGAACUUCCCCUUGUCCCUGGAGGAGGAUCUAGCAGUUCCCUGACUCUUCUGCUCAGCCUCAGAUACCAAGUUCUACGUUCACUUUAAGUUGGUG
Molecule: long non-coding RNA, 1013 nt
Filed under: Marmota monax (woodchuck)
Lineage: Eukaryota; Metazoa; Chordata; Mammalia; Rodentia; Sciuridae
Source: RNAcentral